Molecule: non-coding RNA, 221 nt
Organism: Frankia sp.
Lineage: Bacteria; Bacillati; Actinomycetota; Actinomycetes; Frankiales; Frankiaceae
Source: Rfam
GAAGAGCUCUGCGUCGAAGGGCUAGCGACCCACGGCGACCCCGAGUCAUGCGUCGACGUCCCGCGAGGGCGUGGCGAAGCGUUGACAGGGGCACGUGCAGGCCGGGCUAUGGAGCCGCGAAAUGAAGCAUCCGGGGUGCCCACGCUGUACAAGAGGCGGAAGGCCACACUACUGGCGGCGCUAUCGCGAGUCGUCGGUGGACCCUGCGCGGUCAAAGAACC